AGAACGAACGCUGGCGGCGUGCCUAACACAUGCAAGUCGAACGGGCAUAUUAGUGUAGCAAUACAUUGAUAUGUUAGUGGCGCGCGGGUGAGUAACACGUAGGCAAUCUACCCUAGAGUGGGGGACAACCCAGGGAAACUUGGGCUAAUACCGCAUAAGACCACGAACUGGGAUGUUCGUGGUAAAAGUAGCAAUACGCUUUAGGAUGAGUCUGCGGCCUAUCAGGUAGUUGGUGGAGUAACGGCCCACCAAGCCAAUGACGGGUAACCGGUCUAAGAGGACGAACGGCCACACUGGAACUGAGACACGGUCCAGACUCCUACGGGAGGCAGCAGUGGGGAAUCUUGCACAAUGGGCGAAAGCCUGAUGCAGCGACGCCGCGUGGGGGAUGAAGGCCUUCGGGUUGUAAACUCCUUUUGCAGGGGAAGAUAAUGACGGUACCCUGCGAAUAAGCCACGGCUAACUCUGUGCCAGCAGCCGCGGUAAGACAGAGGUGGCGAGCGUUGUUCGGAAUUACUGGGCUUAAAGGGCGCGUAGGUGGUGAUAUAAGUCUGGGGUGGAAUUCUGCAGCUUAACUGCGGGACUGCCCUGGAAACUGUAUUGCUUGAGUCGGACAGGGGAAGGCGGAAUUCCAGGUGUAGCGGUGAAAUGCGUAGAUAUCUGGAGGAAGGCCUGUGGUGAAGACGGCCUUCUGGGUCUUGACUGACGCUGAGGCGCGAAAGCGUGGGUAGCAAACAGGAUUAGAUACCCUGGUAGUCCACGCCCUAAACGGUGGGUACUAGGUGUGGGGCCCGUACGGGUUCUGUGCCGAAGGGAAACCAUUAAGUACCCCGCCUGGGGAGUACGGCCGCAAGGUUG
RNAcentral lists this ribosomal RNA (858 nucleotides) under uncultured bacterium. RNAcentral describes it as "bacterial SSU rRNA". It matches the Rfam family "Bacterial small subunit ribosomal RNA", at positions 26 to 896 of the family's 1533-position model. The record is from RNAcentral.